This 288-nucleotide ribosomal RNA is filed under the name uncultured bacterium. Its description in RNAcentral is "partial 16S ribosomal RNA". It matches the Rfam family "Bacterial small subunit ribosomal RNA", at positions 333 to 615 of the family's 1533-position model. The record is from RNAcentral.
UAACCUACGGGGGGCAGCAGUAGGGAAUUUUCGUCAAUGGGCGCAAGCCUGAACGAGCAAUGCCGCGUGAACGAGGAAGGUCUUCGGAUCGUAAAGUUCUGUUGAAGGGGAAAAAGAGCGGAGAGAGGAAAUGAACUCCGAUUGAUAUUACCCUUCGAGGAAGUCACGGCUAACUACGUGCCAGCAGCCGCGGUAAUACGUAGGUGGCGAGCGUUAUCCGGAUUUAUUGGGUUUAAAGGGUGCGUAGGCGGUUUUUUAAGUUAGUGGUUAAACGUCGGGGCUUCACCU